Molecule: ribosomal RNA, 429 nt
Filed under: Gemmatimonadota bacterium
Lineage: Bacteria; Pseudomonadati; Gemmatimonadota
Description: Gemmatimonadetes bacterium partial 16S ribosomal RNA
Rfam family: Bacterial small subunit ribosomal RNA
Source: RNAcentral
UAGGGAAUCUUUGGCAAUGGACGAAAGUCUGACCGAGCAACGCCGCGUGAGUGAAGAAGGUUUUCGGAUCGUAAAACUCUGUUGUUAGAGAAGAACAAGUACGUUAGUAACUGAACGUCCCCUGACGGUAUCUAACCAGUAAGCCACGGCUAACUACGUGCCAGCAGCCGCGGUAAUACGUAGGUGGCAAGCGUUGACCGGAUUUAUUGGGCGUAAAGCGAGCGCAGGCGGUUUCGUAAGUCUGAUGUGAAAGCCCCCGGCUCAACCGGGGAGGGUCAUUGGAAACUGGAAGACUUGAGUGCAGAAGAGGGGAGUGGAAUUCCAUGUGUAGCGGUGAAAUGCGUAGAUAUAUGGAGGAACACCGGUGGCGAAGGCAGCUCUCUGGGCUGGAACUGACGCUGAGGCACGAAAGCGUGGGGAGCAAACAGG